UUAGGUUCAGCGGGUAUUCCUACCUGAUCCGAGGUCAAACUUUCAGAAGUGGGGGGUUUAACGGCGUGGCCGCGCUGCGAUCCAGUGCGAGUGUUGCUACUACGCAGAGGAAGCUACAGCGAGACCGCCACUAGAUUUAGGGGCCGGCGCGCCGGAGGGCGGCCGAUCCCCAACACCAAGCCCGGGGGCUUGAGGGUUGA
RNAcentral lists this unclassified non-coding RNA (200 nucleotides) under Nectria sp. (in: ascomycete fungi). RNAcentral describes it as "Nectria sp. (in: Fungi) partial internal transcribed spacer 2". Lineage: Eukaryota; Fungi; Ascomycota; Sordariomycetes; Hypocreales; Nectriaceae. The record is from RNAcentral.